CUUAUGCCGGCGACCGGCGGACGGGUGCGUAACGCGUAUGUAACCUACCUUUGACAGGGGGAUAACAUCGAGAAAUUGGUACUAAUACCCCAUAACAUCACCGGAGGCAUCUUCGGUGGUUGAAAACUCAGGUGGUCAGAGAUGGACGUGCGUUGUAUUAGCUAGUUGGUGAGGUAACGGCUCACCAAGGCGACGAUACAUAGGGGGACUGAGAGGUCAACCCCCCACAUUGGUACUGAGACACGGACCAAACUCCUACGGGAGGCAGCAG
Molecule: ribosomal RNA, 271 nt
Filed under: uncultured bacterium
Lineage: Bacteria
Description: partial 16S ribosomal RNA
Rfam family: Bacterial small subunit ribosomal RNA
Source: RNAcentral